RNAcentral lists this ribosomal RNA (1410 nucleotides) under Triticum aestivum (bread wheat). Its description in RNAcentral is "partial small subunit ribosomal RNA". The record is from RNAcentral. Lineage: Eukaryota; Viridiplantae; Streptophyta; Magnoliopsida; Poales; Poaceae.
AUGUCGUCGUCCGGCGGGGGUGGGGCUGGGCAGCAGUUCCGGUACACGCAGACGCCGUCGAAGGUGCUGCACCUGCGGAACCUGCCCUGGGAGUGCACGGAGGAGGAGCUCGUUGAGCUCUGCAAGCCCUUCGGCCGCAUCGUCAACACCAAAUCCGGCGUCGGCGCCAACCGCAAUCAGGCCUUCGUCGAGUUUACCGAUGUUAAUCAAGCCAUUUCAAUGGUUUCUUAUUUUGCAUCAUCUUCAGAACCAGCACAAAUUCGAGGCAAAACUGUUUACAUCCAGUAUUCAAAUAGACAAGAAAUAAUUAACAAUAAGAGCCCUGGUGAGACUGCUGGAAAUGUGUUGCUUGUUACCAUAGAGGGUGUUCAAGCUAGUGACGUCACCAUCGAUGUAAUCCAUUUGGUUUUCUCUGCUUUUGGAUUUGUUCACAAAAUAGCCACUUUUGAGAAGGCUGCAGGUUUUCAGGCACUGAUCCAGUAUACUGAUGCACCCACUGCAUCAGCAGCAAGAGAAGCCUUAGAUGGAAGAAGCAUCCCAAGAUACUUGCUUCCGGAUCAUGUAGUAUCCUGCCACUUGCGGAUUUCUUUCUCUGCGCAUAAGGAUUUGAACAUCAAGUUCCAAUCACACCGCAGCAGGGAUUACACUAACCCCUACCUUCCAGUCAACUCCUCUGCUAUAGAUAGUACAUUGCAGCCUGCUGUUGGUGCUGAUGGAAGGAGGGUGGAGGCUGAGGGUAAUGUUCUUCUUGCAUCAAUUGAGAAUAUGCAGUAUGCUGUAUCAGUGGAUGUUCUCCAUACUGUGUUCUCUGCAUUCGGUACAGUCCAGAAAAUUGCUAUUUUUGAGAAGAACGGUGGAACACAAGCUCUAAUUCAGUACCCUGAUGCAAGUACUGCUACAGUUGCGAAGGAAGCAUUGGAAGGGCAUUGCAUCUACGAUGGUGGCUACUGUAAGAUUCACCUGUCAUACUCUCGUCAUACUGAUCUCAAUGUAAAGGCUCAUAGUGACAAGAGCAAGGAUUACACAAUACCAGAAGGAGCACACCAAGCAGCACCACAGCCAGCCGGUGUACCACCUACAACUGCAGGAUGGCAAGGUAAUUCUCAAGCAGCUGGACCAUACGGACCACCAGGUGUCGCUGCUCAAAACCAGAACACCAACGGACAAAUGCCGAAUUGGAAUCCCGGCAACUCAGGGUACCCACCAGCUACAGGCCAGUAUCCAGGCCAUAUGUACUCAGCUCCACCACAGCAGUACACGGCGACAUCAGGGGGCUUCUCCGCCCCUCCACCGCCGCCUCAUGAGAUGCAUCCUUCACACCAGAUGCCACCUGCUCAUCAUGGAAAUCAGCAGAGACCGGCAAGUGGUGCCCCUGGAACUGGCCAACCACCUCCGUAUUACCACCAUUAA